Molecule: ribosomal RNA, 490 nt
Filed under: uncultured bacterium
Lineage: Bacteria
Description: partial 16S ribosomal RNA
Rfam family: Bacterial small subunit ribosomal RNA
Source: RNAcentral
GAUGAACGCUAGCUACAGGCUUAACACAUGCAAGUCGCGGGGCAGCAUGGGGGUUGCCUGCAAUCCCCGAUGGCGACCGGCGCACGGGUGAGUAACGCGUAUCCAACCUGCCCUUCACCACGGGAUAACCCGGCGAAAGUCGGACUAAUACCGUACGUUGUCCAUUGACGGCAUCCGAUUUGGACGAAAGGUUUGGCGGUGAAGGAUGGGGAUGCGUCCGAUUAGCUGGACGGCGGGGUGACGGCCCACCGUGGCGACGAUCGGUAGGGGUUCUGAGAGGAAGGUCCCCCACACUGGAACUGGGACACGGUCCAGACUCCUACGGGAGGCAGCAGUGAGGAAUAUUGGUCAAUGGGCGUAAGCCUGAACCAGCCAAGUAGCGUGCAGGAUGACGGCCCUAUGGGUUGUAAACUGCUUUUAUGCGGGGAUAAAGUGGCCCACGUGUGGGUUUUUGCAGGUACCGCAUGAAUAAGGACCGGCUAAUUCCGUG